AUGGAGAGGAGCUGGUUCGGGUGGAGGAAGGCGAAGCAGGGCGGAGGUGGCGGUGCCGGCGGCGGCGGCGGGGAGAGGGAGGAGGAGGAGGAUCGGGCCAAGGUGGUGGUGGACGGGUCCGGGAUACGGGAGCUGGUGGAGGACCGGGAGGCGUUCGGCAUGUUCGCGGAGAGCAAGUUCCGGCAGCUCGACGCCGACGGGGACGGCCGGCUGUCCGUGCGGGAGCUGCAGCCCGCCGUGGCCGACAUCGGCGCCUCGCUCGGCCUGCCCGCGCAGGGCUCCUCGCCCAACGCCGACCACAUCUACUCCGAGGCAAUGAGCGAGUUCGCUCAUGGUCAUGGGAACCAAGAGGGGGUGAGCAGGGCAGAGUUCCAGGAGGUCCUGUCCGACAUUCUCCUUGGCAUGGCGGCCGGGCUCAAGAAGGACCCGAUCGUGAUACUGCGCAUCGACGGCGAGGACCUCAGGGACUUCGUGUCCAGCCCAAGGUAUGAGCCGGCAGCCGCUGCCAUCUUCUCACAGGUUGGGUCUGGAGAUGCCCCUCUCCGGCAAUGCUUGCUAGCCGCCGUCCAGCAGCUCGGCGUCGACCACGGCAUGCCCCCAGCCGCUGACCCUUGGGUGGUAGAGAACGUGGUAGAGCCGGCAUUGCAGCAGCUCUCCACCGAUGAGCUCGAGCAACCGGCGUCCCGGGACGUCUUCUUAGAGCAGCUGAAGAAGCUGCUGGGCAGCGUCGCGGAGCAGCUUCAGGAGCGGCACGUCAUCGUUGCGCACACCGAGAACACCUUCGACGGGACCGGUGUCAGGAGGCUGCUGGGAAACAAGUUCGAGCUGGACAAGCUGCUGGAUUCUGUGUGGAGGGACGUGCCGGCGGAGCUCAGGAAGAAGGCGCCCAAGGACAAGGAGCACCUGCGAGUCGCACUCGAUAAGAUGGCCGAUGCAGCAAGCUUACCACCCCAUGGCUCUGUUGCUCAGGUGGACGCCGUCGUGGACGAGGCGCUCAAGGUGGCGGACGCCGGCGACGGGAAGGUGGUCGAAGAAGCGGAGUUCAAGAAGCUGCUGACGGAGGUGCUUGGGGCCGUGAUGCUGCGGCUGAGCGGCGAACCGAUCUUCUUCUCCACCAGCACCGUCGUCCACGAGCCGCUGUCCAGCUCGUCCGCCCUGUUGCCGUCGCCGGCGGUGGCAUCACCGCCGAGCGAGUAG
RNAcentral lists this ribosomal RNA (1197 nucleotides) under Triticum aestivum (bread wheat). RNAcentral's name for it is "partial small subunit ribosomal RNA". Lineage: Eukaryota; Viridiplantae; Streptophyta; Magnoliopsida; Poales; Poaceae. The record is from RNAcentral.